Molecule: ribosomal RNA, 1210 nt
Filed under: Staphylococcus aureus
Lineage: Bacteria; Bacillati; Bacillota; Bacilli; Caryophanales; Staphylococcaceae
Description: partial 23S ribosomal RNA
Rfam family: Bacterial large subunit ribosomal RNA
Source: RNAcentral
GGUGAAAAGCACCCCGGAAGGGGAGUGAAAUAGAACCUGAAACCGUGUGCUUACAAGUAGUCAGAGCCCGUUAAUGGGUGAUGGCGUGCCUUUUGUAGAAUGAACCGGCGAGUUACGAUUUGAUGCAAGGUUAAGCAGUAAAUGUGGAGCCGUAGCGAAAGCGAGUCUGAAUAGGGCGUUUAGUAUUUGGUCGUAGACCCGAAACCAGGUGAUCUACCCUUGGUCAGGUUGAAGUUCAGGUAACACUGAAUGGAGGACCGAACCGACUUACGUUGAAAAGUGAGCGGAUGAACUGAGGGUAGCGGAGAAAUUCCAAUCGAACCUGGAGAUAGCUGGUUCUCUCCGAAAUAGCUUUAGGGCUAGCCUCAAGUGAUGAUUAUUGGAGGUAGAGCACUGUUUGGACGAGGGGCCCCUCUCGGGUUACCGAAUUCAGACAAACUCCGAAUGCCAAUUAAUUUAACUUGGGAGUCAGAACAUGGGUGAUAAGGUCCGUGUUCGAAAGGGAAACAGCCCAGACCACCAGCUAAGGUCCCAAAAUAUAUGUUAAGUGGAAAAGGAUGUGGCGUUGCCCAGACAACUAGGAUGUUGGCUUAGAAGCAGCCAUCAUUUAAAGAGUGCGUAAUAGCUCACUAGUCGAGUGACACUGCGCCGAAAAUGUACCGGGGCUAAACAUAUUACCGAAGCUGUGGAUUGUCCUUUGGACAAUGGUAGGAGAGCGUUCUAAGGGCGUUGAAGCAUGAUCGUAAGGACAUGUGGAGCGCUUAGAAGUGAGAAUGCCGGUGUGAGUAGCGAAAGACGGGUGAGAAUCCCGUCCACCGAUUGACUAAGGUUUCCAGAGGAAGGCUCGUCCGCUCUGGGUUAGUCGGGUCCUAAGCUGAGGCCGACAGGCGUAGGCGAUGGAUAACAGGUUGAUAUUCCUGUACCACCUAUAAUCGUUUUAAUCGAUGGGGGGACGCAGUAGGAUAGGCGAAGCGUGCGAUUGGAUUGCACGUCUAAGCAGUAAGGCUGAGUAUUAGGCAAAUCCGGUACUCAUUAAGGCUGAGCUGUGAUGGGGAGAAGACAUUGUGUCUUCGAGUCGUUGAUUUCACACUGCCGAGAAAAGCCUCUAGAUAGAAAAUAGGUGCCCGUACCGCAAACCGACACAGGUAGUCAAGAUGAGAAUUCUAAGGUGAGCGAGCGAACUCUCGUUAAGGAACUCGGCAAAAUGACC